AGAGUUUGAUCCUGGCUCAGGAUGAACGCUAGCGGCAGGCCUAAUACAUGCAAGUCAAGGGGAUAGCAAUAUCACCGGCGGACGGGUGCGUAACGCGUACACAACGUGCCCAAGGGCGGAGGAAAGCGGCGGGAAACUGCCGGUAAUACUCCAUGGUGUUGUUGAAUGGCAUCAUUUAACAACUAAAGUACAAGCGCCCUUGGAUCGGUGUGCGUUCGAUUAGCUAGUUGGCGGGGUAACGGCCCACCAAGGCUACGAUCGAUAGGGGGUGUGAGAGCACGGCCCCCCACACGGGUACUGAGACACGGACCCGACUCCUACGGGAGGCAGCAGUAAGGAAUAUUGGACAAUGGGCGAAAGCCUGAUCCAGCCAUGCCGCGUGAGCGAUGAAGGCCUUCGGGUCGUAAAGCUCUUUUCUGGGAGAUGAGAAAGGACAGUAUCCCAGGAAUAAGUCUCGGCUAACUACGUGCCAGCAGCCGCGGUAAAACGUAGGAGGCAAGCGUUAUCCGGAUUCACUGGGCGUAAAGCGCGUGCAGGCGGUUUGGUAAGUUGGGCGUGAAAUCUCCCGGCUCAACUGGGAGGGGUCGUUCAAUACUACCAGACUCGAGAGCGAUAGAGGAAAAUGGAAUUCCCGGUGUAGUGGUGAAAUGCGUAGAUAUCGGGAGGAACACCAGUGGCGAAAGCGAUUUUCUGGAUCGUUUCUGACGCUCAGACGCGAAAGCUAGGGUAGCAAACGGGAUUAGAUACCCUGGUAGUCC
This 758-nucleotide ribosomal RNA is filed under the name uncultured bacterium. RNAcentral describes it as "bacterial SSU rRNA". It matches the Rfam family "Bacterial small subunit ribosomal RNA", at positions 8 to 796 of the family's 1533-position model. The record is from RNAcentral.